Molecule: non-coding RNA, 62 nt
Filed under: Bacillus cereus VD107
Lineage: Bacteria; Bacillati; Bacillota; Bacilli; Caryophanales; Bacillaceae
Description: RAGATH-18 RNA
Rfam family: RAGATH-18 RNA
About the family: Actinobacteria, Firmicutes, Fusobacteria, Thermotogae (1 example). Nearby to self-cleaving ribozyme genes
Source: Rfam by way of RNAcentral
CCCUCGGAGAGUUACAGCAAACAAAAGUAGCUUCGGCAAAAUUGGACUCGUAGAACAGGGAA